This 489-nucleotide ribosomal RNA is filed under the name uncultured bacterium. RNAcentral's name for it is "bacterial SSU rRNA". It matches the Rfam family "Bacterial small subunit ribosomal RNA", at positions 28 to 524 of the family's 1533-position model. The record is from RNAcentral.
GACGAACGCUGGCGGCGGGCUUAACACAUGCAAGUCGAACGAACGCCUUCGGGCGUUAGUGGCGCACGGGUGAGUAACACGUAGGCAAUCUACCCUCGGCUGGGGAAUAACCAGGGGAAACCCUGGCUAAUACCGCAUAACAUCUGGACGUCGCCUGGCGACCAGAUCAAAGCUUUAUGUGGCCGAGGAUGAGCCUGCGUCGGAUUAGCUAGUUGGUGGGGUAACGGCCUACCAAGGCGACGAUCCGUAGCGGGUCUGAGAGGAUGAUCCGCCACACUGGCACUGAGACACGGGCCAGACUCCUACGGGAGGCAGCAGUGAGGAAUAUUGCGCAAUGGACGAAAGUCUGACGCAGCCACGCCGCGUGCAGGAAGACACCCCUCUGGGGGCGUAAACUGCUUUUAUACGGGAAGAAGGCCCUCCUCGGGAGGGAUUGACGGUACCGUACGAAUAAGGACCGGCUAACUCCGUGCCAGCCGCCGCCGUAAU